UACAGAGGUGGCAAGCGUUGUUCAGAAUUACUGGGCGUAAAGGGCGCGUAGGCGGCCUUCUAAGUCGAACGUGAAAUCCCCGGGCUCAACCCGGGAACUGCGUCCGAUACUGGAAGGCUAGAAUCCGGGAGAGGGAUGCGGAAUUCCAGGUGUAGCGGUGAAAUGCGUAGAUAUCUGGAGGAACACCGGUGGCGAAGGCGGCAUCCUGGACCGGUAUUGACGCUGAGGCGCGAAAGCCAGGGGAGCAAACGGG
RNAcentral lists this ribosomal RNA (253 nucleotides) under uncultured bacterium. Its description in RNAcentral is "partial 16S ribosomal RNA". It matches the Rfam family "Bacterial small subunit ribosomal RNA", at positions 524 to 776 of the family's 1533-position model. The record is from RNAcentral.